UGGGGAAUAUUGCACAAUGGGCGCAAGCCUGAUGCAGCCAUGCCGCGUGUGUGAAGAAGGCCUUCGGGUUGUAAAGCACUUUCAGCGAGGAGGAAGGUGGUGAACUUAAUACGUUCAUCAAUUGACGUUACUCGCAGAAGAAGCACCGGCUAACUCCGUGCCAGCAGCCGCGGUAAUACGGAGGGUGCAAGCGUUAAUCGGAAUUACUGGGCGUAAAGCGCACGCAGGCGGUUUGUUAAGUCAGAUGUGAAAUCCCCGGGCUCAACCUGGGAACUGCAUUUGAAACUGGCAAGCUAGAGUCUCGUAGAGGGGGGUAGAAUUCCAGGUGUAGCGGUGAAAUGCGUAGAGAUCUGGAGGAAUACCGGUGGCGAAGGCGGCCCCCUGGACGAAGACUGACGCUCAGGUGCGAAAGGCGUGGGGGAGCAAACAGGAUUAGAUACCCUGGUAGUCCACGCUGUAAAACGAUGUCGAUUUUGGAGGUUGUGCCCUUGAGGCGUGGCUUCCGGAGCUAACGCGUUAAAUCGACCGCCUGGGGAGUACGGCCGCAAGGUUAAAACUCAAAUGAAUUGC
RNAcentral lists this ribosomal RNA (570 nucleotides) under uncultured bacterium. Its description in RNAcentral is "partial 16S ribosomal RNA". It matches the Rfam family "Bacterial small subunit ribosomal RNA", at positions 355 to 913 of the family's 1533-position model. The record is from RNAcentral.